This 380-nucleotide unclassified non-coding RNA is filed under the name uncultured Chlamydiales bacterium. RNAcentral's name for it is "contains 16S-23S intergenic spacer region". The record is from RNAcentral. Lineage: Bacteria; Pseudomonadati; Chlamydiota; Chlamydiia; Chlamydiales.
UCCUGGUUAACCCAGGCAGUCUCGUUAGAGUGCCCGCCAUUACGCGAUGGCAACUAACGACAAGGGUUGCGCUCGUUGCGGGACUUAACCCAACACCUCACGGCACGAGCUGACGACAGCCAUGCAGCACCUGUGCACCUGUCUCUUGCGAGAAGACUUCAUUUCUGAAGCUGUCAGGUGCAUGUCAAGACCAGGUAAGGUUCUUCGCGUUGCAUCGAAUUAAACCACAUGCUCCACUGCUUGUGCGGGUCCCCGUCAAUUCUUUUGAGUUUCACCCUUGCGAGCGUACUCCCCAGGCGGUAUACUUAACGCGUUAGCUCCGGCACAGUCGGGGUUGAGACCGACUACGCCAAGUAUACAUAGUUUAAGGCAAGGACUAC